This 423-nucleotide ribosomal RNA is filed under the name uncultured bacterium. Its description in RNAcentral is "partial 16S ribosomal RNA". It matches the Rfam family "Bacterial small subunit ribosomal RNA", at positions 360 to 775 of the family's 1533-position model. The record is from RNAcentral.
AAUAUUGGACAAUGGGGGCAACCCUGAUCCAGCCAUGCCGCGUGUGUGAAUAAGGUCUUCGGAUUAUAAAGCACAUUAAGUUGGGAGGAAGGGCUUUAGGUUCAUACCCUGAAGAUUUGACGUUACCAACAGAAUAAGCACUGACUAACACUGUGCAAGCCGCCGCGGUAAUACAGAGGGUGCAAGCGUUAAUCAGAAUUAUUGGGCGUAAAGCGUGCGUAGGUGGUUCAGUAAGAUGGGUGUGAAAUCCCCGGGCUUAACCUGGGAACUGCUUUCAUAACUGCUGAGCUAGAGUACGGUAGAGGGUAGUGGAAUUUCCUGUGUAGCGGUGAAAUGCGUAGAUAUAGGAAGGAACACCAGUGGCGAAGGCGACUACCUGGACUGAUACUGACACUGAGGUGCGAAAGCGUGGGGAGCAAACAG